This is a non-coding RNA of Prosthecobacter debontii, 74 nucleotides long. Lineage: Bacteria; Pseudomonadati; Verrucomicrobiota; Verrucomicrobiia; Verrucomicrobiales; Verrucomicrobiaceae. The record is from Rfam.
GGAGCGGUAGCUCAAUUGGUUAGAGCGCCAGCCUGUCACGUUGGAGGUUGCGGGUUCAAGCCCCGUCCGUUCCG